RNAcentral lists this ribosomal RNA (326 nucleotides) under uncultured eukaryote. RNAcentral describes it as "partial 18S ribosomal RNA". It matches the Rfam family "Eukaryotic small subunit ribosomal RNA", at positions 1470 to 1796 of the family's 1831-position model. The record is from RNAcentral.
CCCUUAGAUGUCCGGGGCCGCACGCGCGCUACACUGAAGGAAUCAGCGUGGCUUUCUCCCUGACCCGAAAGGGUUGGGAAACCCGUUGAAUCUCCUUCGUGAUAGGGAUUGGGGCUUGAAAUUGUUCCCCAUGAACGAGGAAUUCCCAGUAAGCGCGAGUCAUAAGCUCGCGUUGAUUACGUCCCUGCCCUUUGUACACACCGCCCGUCGCUACUACCGAUUGAGUGAUCCGGUGAAUAAUUCGGACUGCCGCAGUGUUCGGUCACGAACGUUGCAGCGGAAAGUUUAGUGAACCUUAUCACUUAGAGGAAGGAGAAGUCGUAACA